CGGUAAUUCCAGCUCCAAUAGCGUAUACUAAAGUUGUUGCAGUUAAAAAGCUCGUAGUUGAAUUUCUGGUCGUGGCGAUCGGUCCGCCCCUCACGGGGUGUGCACCUGGUCUCUACGUCCAUCCUCGGGGAGAGCGUGCCUGGCAUUAAGUUGUCGGGUGCGGGAUCCUCGUCAUUUACUGUGAGCAAAAUAGAGUGUUCAAAGCAGGCUUAGGCCGUUGAAUACAUUAGCAUGGAAUAAUAAGAUAGGACCUUGGUCUAUUUUGUUGGUUUGCAUUCCAAGGUAAUGAUUAAUAGGGAUAGUUGGGGGUAUUCGUAUUCAAUUGUCAGAGGUGAAAUUCUUGGAUUUAUGGAAGACGAACUACUGCGAAAGCAUUUACCAAGGACGUUUUCAUUAAUCAAGAACGAAAGUUAGGGGAUCGAAGAUGAUUAGAUACCAUCGUAGUCUUAACCAUAAACUAUGCCAACUAGGGAUUGGUGGACGUUUGUAACGACUCCAUCAGCACCUUAUGAGAAAUCAAAGUCUUUGGGUUCCGGGGAGAGUAUGGUCGCAAGGCUGAAACUUAAAGAAAUUGACGGAAGGGCACCACCAGGAGUGGAGCCUGCGGCUUAAUUUGACUCAACACGGGAAAACUUACCAGGUCCAGACAUAGUGAGGAUUGACAGAUUGAGAGCUCUUUCUUGAUUCUAUGGGUGGUGGUGCAUGUCCGUUUUUAGUGGGUGGAGUGAUUGGUUAGGUUAAUUCCGUUAACGAACGAGACCCCCGCAUGUUAAAUAGUUGAGCGAAUGCAUAGCAUUGGCGUCAACUUAUUAGAGGGACUUGUGGUGACUAACCAAAGGAAGUUCGGGGCAAUAUCAGGUAUGUGAUGCCAUUAGAUGUCCUGGGCCGCACGCGCAAUACAACGAUACACGCAUCGAGUCCACCUUGUCCGAAAGGUCCGGGUAAUAUAGUAAAUGUGUAUUGUACUAGGGAUAGAUUUUUUCAAUUUUGAAUCUUGAGAGAGGAAUUCAUAGUAAAUUCGAGUCAUCAGCUCGCGUUGAUUACGUCCCUGCCCUCAGUACACACCUCCCGUCGCACGUACGGAUGGAAUGGUUCGGUGAAAAUCUCGGGGUGCGGAUUGGAUGCGUUAGGGCAGCCCAGGGAAAGGAAAGUUGUCUUAACCUCAUCAAUUAGAGGAGAGGUGAAGUCAUAGCAAGGUAUACCGUAAGAGGUGAAUCCAGCAGCACGUGGCGGCCG
RNAcentral lists this ribosomal RNA (1236 nucleotides) under uncultured stramenopile. Its description in RNAcentral is "SSU rRNA". It matches the Rfam family "Eukaryotic small subunit ribosomal RNA", at positions 577 to 1831 of the family's 1831-position model. The record is from RNAcentral.